GAUUUAUUUCAGUACAUGCUGUGGUUAAUUCUUGUCCAUUUUAAUAUCAUGUGUUUACCAUAUGUGAGUUGCAUUAAAUUAUAUCGCUAGGGGCCCGCUCAAUGGGUCCAGGACAUUAAAGUCCUUGGUAUUUUGACGUUGGAGACGCGUGGAAGGUCGAAUGGGCGCAUCGAGAUUCAAGACAUUUAUCAAGUAGUUGAUUUGAUUUUCAACUAAUUUAAGUAUUUAAAGUUUUGCUUAGCACAAGUUUUACCUAAUACCUGGAUAUUUUGAUGACAUCUUUAUGUCAUGCUUUGAAAUAAGAGGUUGAUUGUC
Molecule: long non-coding RNA, 315 nt
Organism: Salvia miltiorrhiza (redroot sage)
Lineage: Eukaryota; Viridiplantae; Streptophyta; Magnoliopsida; Lamiales; Lamiaceae
Exons: 2
Source: RefSeq, a predicted model, not a curated record